GGAAUAUUGCGCAAUGGCCGAAAGGCUGACGCAGCGACGCCGCGUGUGGGAGGAAGCCCUUCGGGGUGUAAACCACUGUCGGGAGGGACGAAACCCGGGCACUCGAAUCGGGUGCUCGAUUGACGGUACCUCCAACGGAAGCGCCGGCUAACUCCGUGCCAGCAGCCGCGGUAAGACGGAGGGCGCAAGCGUUGUGCGGAAUCACUGGGCGUAAAGCGCACGCAGGCGGUCUCUUAAGUCCACUGUUAAAUCACGGGGCUCAACCCCGGAGGUGCAGCGGAUACUGAGGGACUGGAGACUGGUAGAGGCUAGCGGAAUUCCUGGUGUAGCGGUGGAAUGCGUAGAUAUCAGGAGGAACACCGGUGGCGAAGGCGGCUAGCUGGGCCAGUUCUGACGCUCAUGUGCGAAAGCGUGGGGAGCAAAC
This 424-nucleotide ribosomal RNA is filed under the name uncultured bacterium. RNAcentral describes it as "bacterial SSU rRNA". It matches the Rfam family "Bacterial small subunit ribosomal RNA", at positions 358 to 773 of the family's 1533-position model. The record is from RNAcentral.